GAUGAACGCUGGCGGCGUGCCUAAUACAUGCAAGUCGAGCGAACAGACGAGGAGCUUGCUCCUCUGACGUUAGCGGCGGACGGGUGAGUAACACGUGGAUAACCUACCUAUAAGACUGGGAUAACUUCGGGAAACCGGAGCUAAUACCGGAUAAUAUAUUGAACCGCAUGGUUCAAUAGUGAAAGACGGUUUUGCUGUCACUUAUAGAUGGAUCCGCGCCGCAUUAGCUAGUUGGUAAGGUAACGGCUUACCAAGGCAACGAUGCGUAGCCGACCUGAGAGGGUGAUCGGCCACACUGGAACUGAGACACGGUCCAGACUCCUGCGGGAGGCAGCAGUAGGGAACCUUCCGCAAUGGGCGAAAGCCUGACGGAGCAACGCCGAGUGAGUGAUGAAGGUCUUCGGAUCGGAAAACUCUGUUAUUAGGGAAGAACAAAUGUGUAAGUAACUAUGCACUGCUUGACGGUACCUAAUCAGAAAGCCACGGCUAACUACGUG
RNAcentral lists this ribosomal RNA (497 nucleotides) under uncultured bacterium. Its description in RNAcentral is "partial 16S ribosomal RNA". It matches the Rfam family "Bacterial small subunit ribosomal RNA", at positions 28 to 507 of the family's 1533-position model. The record is from RNAcentral.